UCAGGAUGAACGCUAGCGGUGUGUUAACACAUGCAAGUCGAGCGCCCCCACUUUGCCCAUGAGAUUCGUGGUCAGGGUGGGGGAGCGGCAGACGAGAGAGUAAUACGUUGGAACCUACCCCAGACUCAGGGAUAACCGUUCGAAAGAGCGGCUAAUACCGGAUAGUCUCGUAAGAGUAAAGCUUUUGCGGUCUGGGAGGGGCCUGCGGCCUAUCAGCUAGUUGGUAAGGUAAUGGCUUACCAAGGCGAUGACGGGUAGCUGAUGUGAGAGCAUGAUCAGCCUCGAUGGGACUGCGACACGGCCCAUACUCCUACGGGAGGCAGCAGUGAAGAAUCUUCCGCAAUGGACGAAAGUCUGACGGAGCAACACCGCGUGGUGGAUGACGGCCUUCGGGUUGUAAACACCUUUUCUGAGGGAAUAAGUUCUGAAGGUACCUCAGGAAUAAGUGGCUGCUAACUACGUGCCAGCAGCAGCGGUAAUACGUAGGCCACAAGCGUUAUCCGGAAUCAUUGGGCGUAAAGCGUCCGCAGGCGGCCAAAUAAGUCUGGUGUAAAAUUUCAGUGCUCAACACUGAAAGUGUAUCGGAAACUGUUUGGCUAGAGUCUGAGAGAGGCCAUUGGAAUUUCUGUUGUAGGGGUAAAAUCCGUAGAUAACAGAAGGAACACCAAAAGCGAAGGCAGAUGGCUGGCUCAGUACUGACGCUCAGGGACGAAAGCGUGGGUAGCGAACGGGACUAGAUACCCCGGUAGUCCACGCUGUAAACGAUGAGUGCUAGGUGUGGGAAGGGCUCGACCCCUUUCUGUGUCCACAGCUAACGCGUUAAGCACUCCGCCUGGGGAGUACGGUCGCAAGACUAAAACUCAAAGGAAUAGACGGGGACCCACACAAGCGGUGGAUCAUGUGGUUUAAUUCGACGAUAAGCGGGAAACCUCACCCAGACUUGACAUCCUAAGAAAGCUCUGGAAACAGAGCCGUGCCUUUUGGAACUUAGUGACAGGCGCUGCAUGGUUGUCGUCAGCUCGUGCCCUGAGGUGUUCGGUUAAGUCCGUUAACGAGCGCAACCCUUGUUGCAUGUUGUAAUUCUCAUGCAAGACUGCCGGCCCCAAGCCGGAGGAAGGUAGGGAUGACGUCAAAUCAGCAUGGCCCUUAUGUCUGGGGCGACACACGUGAUACAAUGGGAAGUACAAAGGGUAGCCAAGGCGCAAGCCGGAGCCAAUCCCAAAAACUUUCCUCAGUUCGGAUUGAAGGCUGCAAUUCGCCUUCAUGAAGCUGGAAUCGCUAGUAACCGUAAAUCAGAAUGUUACGGUGAAUAUGUUCCUGGGUCUUGUACUCACCGCCCGUCACAUCACGGAAGAUGGGAGCGCCCGAAG
This 1370-nucleotide ribosomal RNA is filed under the name uncultured organism. RNAcentral's name for it is "bacterial SSU rRNA". It matches the Rfam family "Bacterial small subunit ribosomal RNA". The record is from RNAcentral.